AAACCAUAAUGUGAACACUGUUUUUGCAUACCCUUUAAUCUCUCUCAAGCUUCAUAUCAUGUCUCAUCAUCCCAUUAAGCAAAGGUAAUAAUGUCAUUCCUAAGCUU
Mangifera indica (mango) is the source of this 107-nucleotide small nucleolar RNA. Lineage: Eukaryota; Viridiplantae; Streptophyta; Magnoliopsida; Sapindales; Anacardiaceae. The record is from RefSeq and is a predicted model, not a curated record.